AAAUUCUUCAAUGAACAUUUUUCCAUUAAAGUCUCUAUUCUGAAAAUUCUGUUUGUAACAAACCAGGUAAGUCUUUGUCUUGUUAGGGUUGAUCAUCCUUAGUGCUAGGUCCGUAUGCAUGUGUGAAUUCUAAAUGUUUUGUUAGUAAUAUGUUUGUUUGUUGCGAACCAGUUGACUGUCUACUAGCAAGAACAAAAGCAAAGCCAAAAUCGUUUAAGUUCUUUGUUUGUAGAGAGUGGUCUAAAAUUAUUUAGAUUAUGUUAGUUGCUAUGGUUUUCCUAAAAGAAACCUUGUUUUCAAAACCAAACGUAAGUUUUCUGAAACAAUUUUGUUUAAGCCACGAAACUUUAUUUUCAAAACACGAUUUUACACAAGCUCCUAUGCGAGCCUCUGGUUAUAAGAAUGUUUUGGAAAGAAUGGUUUUAAACUGUAUUUUUGAAAGGCACUUACGUGCGAGCUUUUAUAAACAAAUGUUUUAACUUUGUUUUUUGCAAGCUCUCUGAUAAGUUCACUUUGUGCGAACUCUUUUCUUGGCUCCGCUCUAUGCGAGACCUCUUUUUAGCUUUACCUUAUUGCAAUCUUUCUAUUCUAUGAGCUCUUUAGUGAACCUUCUAAUUUGGAAUACCAAGGGUUGGAAUACUCGCCCAAGUCAAGGCUAACUCUGUGUGUUCCUAUGAGAGCAUGAGCCUUUAUGAGCCUCACUAUGCGUGUUCCUUGAGAGCAUAGACCUUUGUGAGAUUUCUGAUAUGUCUGUGAUGAACCAAUUGUGUGACCUAAGGCCGACUCUGUUCAUAAUUUCUGAUAUGUGUGAACCUAGUAACAAAGCUCUGUUAUAAACUCUGAUUUGUUUUGGUCUUGCAAUUUCUAUGCAAGCCCUCUUCUUAAGCAAGUUUUUAAAGAAAGGAUUUAUCAGAAAUGUUUUUAAUUUUUUCACAAAAAUAUAUUUUUCAAAUGCAAACUAGGUCUUAAAAUCCUCAAACUGCGAACCCAGCACGCAAACCAUUU
RNAcentral lists this long non-coding RNA (1005 nucleotides) under Gossypium barbadense (sea-island cotton). RNAcentral's name for it is "long non-coding RNA (GBAR_LNC021252)". The record is from RNAcentral. Lineage: Eukaryota; Viridiplantae; Streptophyta; Magnoliopsida; Malvales; Malvaceae.